ACGGAAGGCAGCAGUGAGGAAUAUUGGUCAAUGGAGGCAACUCUGAACCAGCCAUCUCGCGUGAAGGAAUACGGCCCUACGGGUCUUAAACUUCUUUUAUAGGGGGAUAAAGUGAGCCACGUGUGGCUUUUUGUAGGUACCCUAUGAAUAAGCAUCGGCUAACUCCGUGCCAGCAGCCGCGGUAAUACGGAGGAUGCGAGCGUUAUCCGGAUUUAUUGGGUUUAAAGGGUGCGCAGGCGGCACGUUAAGUCAGCGGUGAAAUGUCGGGGCUCAACCCGGGCACUGCCGUUGAAACUGGCGAGCUUGAGUACGGAUGAAGUCGGCGGAAUGUGAUGUGUAGCGGUGAAAUGCUUAGAUAUGUCACAGAACACCAAUUGCGAAGGCAGAUGACUAAACCGCAACUGACGCUCUUGCACGAAAGCGUGGGGAUCGAACAGGAUUAGAUACCCUGGUA
RNAcentral lists this ribosomal RNA (454 nucleotides) under uncultured Porphyromonas sp. RNAcentral's name for it is "partial 16S ribosomal RNA". It matches the Rfam family "Bacterial small subunit ribosomal RNA", at positions 341 to 792 of the family's 1533-position model. Lineage: Bacteria; Pseudomonadati; Bacteroidota; Bacteroidia; Bacteroidales; Porphyromonadaceae. The record is from RNAcentral.